This 309-nucleotide ribosomal RNA is filed under the name uncultured bacterium. RNAcentral's name for it is "bacterial SSU rRNA". It matches the Rfam family "Bacterial small subunit ribosomal RNA", at positions 29 to 366 of the family's 1533-position model. The record is from RNAcentral.
AACGAACGCUGGCGGCAGGCUUAACACAUGCAAGUCGAACGCCCCGCAAGGGGAGUGGCAGACGGGUGAGUAACACGUGGGAACAUGCCCAAAGGUACGGAAUAUUCUCGGGAAACUGGGAGCAAUACCGUAUGUGCCCGAAAGGGGAAAGAUUUAUCGCCUUGGAUUGGCCCGCGUUGGAUUAGCUAGUUGGUGGGGUAAAAGGACCUACCAAGGCGACGAUCCAUAGCUGGUCUGAGAGGACGACCAGCCACACUGGGACUGAGACACGGCCCAGACUCCUACGGGAGGCAGCAGUGGGGAACCGUU